CAGUCGCCACGGUAAUACGUAGGUGGCAAGCGUUGUCCGGAAUUAUUGGGCGUAAAGGGCUCGCAGGCGGUUUCUUAAGUCUGAUGUGAAAGCCCCCGGCUCAACCGGGGAGGGUCAUUGGAAACUGGGAAACUUGAGUGCAGAAGAGGAGAGUGGAAUUCCACGUGUAGCGGUGAAAUGCGUAGAGAUGUGGAGGAACACCAGUGGCGAAGGCGACUCUCUGGUCUGUAACUGACGCUGAGAGACGAAAGCUAGGGGAGCAAAUGGGAUUAGAUACCCGAGUAGUCACUGUCUCUUAUAC
Molecule: ribosomal RNA, 301 nt
Filed under: uncultured bacterium
Lineage: Bacteria
Description: partial 16S ribosomal RNA
Rfam family: Bacterial small subunit ribosomal RNA
Source: RNAcentral